Siniperca chuatsi (mandarin fish) is the source of this 2051-nucleotide long non-coding RNA. RefSeq lists it as uncharacterized. The transcript is spliced from 6 exons. NCBI's taxonomy places the organism in Eukaryota, Metazoa, Chordata, Actinopteri, Centrarchiformes, Sinipercidae. The record is from RefSeq and is a predicted model, not a curated record.
AAAACCUACCUGUAUUGGUUUAUGUCGUUAACCGGUUCGAGUUAUAUUGUACAGGUGGCAGACAUUAACGCUAGCUAAUGUUAGCUAGCUAUAGCUUUACGUUGUAUUAACUUAGUUAACCUGAUAAUUGAAGAGGGCAACUACAAUGCAGAGACAGACUGUCAUGGGCUGCAUGUGAGAUGCAUUGACCAACAUGGUCAGACAAGUGGUGACUGCUCGCUGAGAGACCUGAUCAAAACCUUCUGAAGAACAGAAGUUGCCUAAAGAAAGAUCAUCAACAUCCAGGCUGUGUUAGAUAAGGCUGUUUCCAUCGAUGGCUUGAAUCUUCAUGUGUGUUACGCCCUCUUGGUGAAUAGAAAAAAAUAAACGUAUGCCAAACAACACAAUGAAGCACACCACUCCGUUUCCCACCAUGCACACGAGGAAGAUCAGCAAGUAGGACACGAUGAAGAUGGUUGCUGUGGACGGCUGAUGCAGGACUGAUGCCAGUAGAAAUGCCUCCAGGAACAAAGCCAUUUUCUGGAGUUUGGCUCCACGUCACUGACAGCCUCACCGGGGCGAAUUCACAAAGAAUGAACUGCGGCCGCUGACAGCGCCAUGAAUUGCGCAUCAUCACGUCUCAAGGUCCGAUUCACAAAAGAUAUUGCACUAAUGAUAUUGCAGCGCAAAAACACCCAUAAAGUUCUGGAGCGGAGUGCAAUUUGCAACUGUUUUGUGUAUGUUAAAUGUUGAUUUGCAAUUUUCUGUAGUGGUCCCAGUAAUAUUUUUUCUUAAGGUGUACUGAAGUAGCAUAUCACAUGACAUGGUUAAGCAACGUUUGAGUCAAAAAAUGUUAUAAAUGCAGUUGCAAGAACGAUACUUUCCACUCAUGUGGAAAGAGAUGUUUGAUUUGAAAGAGAACUUAUUCUAAUUCUAACUCCUCUAAUUAUCUAUUAACUCCCCCUGCUUUCUCAUUCGUUUCUAUCUGCAGGAUGUCUCUUAUUUUUCUAUGACUCACUCAGUAUGGAGUGAUUGUUCUUUGUGGUGCUUUAACUGUGCGCUCUCUCUCUCGUGCCUCUGGGCGCAUGGAGAGCUGUUUCCUCUCCUACUCUGCUCUGUGUUACAGUGCGUAACCACCAUCUCCGUUUCUCCCAGCAGCAGGAUUUAUGUUGUUUUACAGUUUCAUUCCCUCAUGGUGAAUAUCUGUCUGUGCCAUUCGUUGUACUGUGAUGCGCUAUUGCUUCGCCUGGCUACAGUCGCUGCUGCCACGAUCACUGGAAAGUCGGGGCGUGACACCCCUCAUGAAGGCGCUUCAGUUACCACCAACUCUCCGAAGACGCUAAUCAUUUCACUAACUGCGUGCGGCUAUUAGCGCUGGUGUUUGUGAAUUGGACAUAUUUUUUUUUGCAUUGAGGCUCAUUUGCAUAGCAAGGGGCCAGUUUUGCGCCAAAUGUCUCCAUAUUACCUCAUUUACAUACCUGCAAGUAGCACCGGAGCACCGAGCCGCUUUUUGCUUGGCAACACAGUUAGAGGUGCAGUUCACCCUUGGCGGGUGCUUUGAGAAUUGGAGCGGUUUCUUUUUGUCGUAUUUAUGCAGAAUUAGCGGCUGCAAAAGCUGUGCAAUCCUUUUGUGAAUUCGCCCCACAGUUUGUUAAAACACAGUGGGCUUACUGCUGCUUUGUCCUGCUUACUGCUGCUUUCUCCGUGUGAGUGAGUUGAAUAAAAAAUAAGUGUGAAUAAAACAUGAAUGGGCAAAUAGAGGGCAUGGGUGGCUAAUUGAAGGAACUGGGGAAGUAAAGACUUUGAAAGCUCUUUUUAAUGUGCACCCAACUCUGCAGUUUUAAUUACUUAUUUAUAGAAACUUAAAUGUGUCUUGGUGCGAUGUUGUGUAUCUGAGCAUUGAGAAACAGAAAAGGCAUUGGUGAAGGUAGACCUAAUCAUGGCUAAAAUUAUACAUUUCCUGAGUUUUCAAUCACCGUCCUCGCUGCAUCCUGUGGACAGAGUUCAUGGUGUUUCUCAGUGUUGGUCAGUUUCUUCUUGCUUUCUCGCAGCCUGGCAACUCAGCAGGUGUG